This is a microRNA precursor of Homo sapiens (human), 75 nucleotides long. NCBI's taxonomy places the organism in Eukaryota, Metazoa, Chordata, Mammalia, Primates, Hominidae. The record is from Ensembl.
AGGUUAGUGCAAAAGUAAUUGCAGUUUUUGCGUUACUUUCAAUCGUAAAAACUGCAAUUACUUUCACACCAAUCU